AACGAACGCUGGCGGCAUGCCUAACACAUGCAAGUCGAACGAGAACUUCGGGUCUAGGGGCGCACGGGGGCGUAACGAGUGGGAACCUGCACGUAGGUUCGGAAUACCUCCCCGAAAGGGGUGCUAAUACAGGAUAAUGUCUUAGGACCAAAGAUUUAUCGCUUGGGGAUGGGCGCGCGGCGGAUUAGCUAGUUGGUGGGGUAGAAGCUUACCAAGGCUUCGAUGGGUAGCUGGUCUGAGAGGGUGACCGGCCACAUUGGGACUGAGAUACGGCCCAGACUCCUACGGGAGGCAGCAGUGGGGAAUAUUGCACAAUGGGCGGAAGCCUGAUGCAGCAACGCCGCGUGCGGGAUGACGGCCUUCGGGUUGUAAACCGCUUUCGCCUGUGACGAAGCGUGAGUGACGGUAAUGGGUAAAGAAGCACCGGCUAACUACGUG
RNAcentral lists this ribosomal RNA (438 nucleotides) under uncultured bacterium. RNAcentral's name for it is "partial 16S ribosomal RNA". It matches the Rfam family "Bacterial small subunit ribosomal RNA", at positions 29 to 507 of the family's 1533-position model. The record is from RNAcentral.